UAAAUACACCACGAAUAGGCUAUCCCAACUAACGGCGGGAAAGACUCCACGGAGGGUGUAAGACCCGUGUGGGCGCGUGUUAAAGCUGUGCGGGCUCGGCCUCUAUUCCCUGAGAGUCGCGUUGCUUGAGCAUGCAGCGCUAAGCAGGUCGUAAACUCGAUCUAAGGCUAAAUAUCUCCACAGAACCGAUAGCGAACAAGUACCGUGAGGGAAAGUUGAAAAGCACUCUGGAGAGAGAGUCAAAAGACCGUGAAACCGCUCAGAGUAUAAGCCCAUGGCAGCUUGGAAGGCAUAUCGCUAGCGGGGCAUCGGUCUUCCUUCGCGGGGAGCUGGUGUUACCUUGCUUCUGUUGUGGCUCGUUAUGGUAGGGGGGUCAAGUCCACAUCCCGCCGUCGUGUGGGGGGUUCUUGGGUGGUGUUGUGGUUUUUCGGUUGGUUUCGGCCGGCCGGAGGGCUCUUCGUGCUCGGUUCCUCUUUAGACACGGACGUUCAGACUCAGAGGCAAGACGCGAUAAACAGCCCACCACGGCACGUUGUGAGGUCACCCACAGGCUCGACUUUCGAUCGCGAACCUUGACGCCGAGCAAGCACAAUGCGUGUCGCUGAUGUUCCUAACCAGGCAAAACGCUGCCAGGACCGUGGAACGACACGCGCUCAACAGUCAGGUUCGGGCGGAGACAGAGUUCUGGUACGAUCCUCUUGCGACGAGCCGGCUUCUGGCCAACAUCCGAUGCUCAGGUCUCCCGCAUGUGCCGCGGGAGAUCGCCUUGACGGUCUGGA
RNAcentral lists this ribosomal RNA (779 nucleotides) under Gammarus balcanicus. RNAcentral describes it as "eukaryotic LSU rRNA". It matches the Rfam family "Eukaryotic large subunit ribosomal RNA", at positions 157 to 605 of the family's 3401-position model. Lineage: Eukaryota; Metazoa; Arthropoda; Malacostraca; Amphipoda; Gammaridae. The record is from RNAcentral.